GAGAAAACGGAAAAAGCUAUCUAGCUUAUUUUUUAAUAGUUUUAAAGAUUUCUCAAAUUUUAAUUAUUUGAAAGAUUAUAAAUCAAGCUUUAUUUUAUGCAUUAGAAUGCUUUUACGAAAUUUAAACCUUCAAUUGCUUAUCCACCUCCAUAAAAAUUCUUGCGACUUGUUGUUUUACAAAUGGCGGGUGGAUUAUUAAUAUAUUCAACUUUAUGGAAGUUUUCCAAUGAUUAGCAAAAUUAUGAUGUUCAUAUAGCCAUAUUAGUCAUGAGUAGAUGUCAGCAUAACUAUUGGAACAAGAUGUUUGAUACUCAAUUUGUAUGCUUGCCUGUCGGAGUGGUUUCAUCGGAGGAGACAUCUCCAAUAGCAGAAAGCAGAAAACCCCGCGUGGAUGUGCAUGCACAAAAAAUACCGGGAAACAGAAUUCCACCAUUUUACAAUGUGACGGAUGAAGUGACGGGAUUGAAAUACGGGUCGAAAGUCCUUGGUAAAAAUAUGCCGUUAUGGACGUCAAAAUUGCCACCGAGAAGAAUGUAGGUGAAAAUCAUCUCACAAACCAACAACGACGAUAUUUUGCUAUUUCUGGCAUGCGCAGAUGGCCAGACAGUCGUACAUCAUCAAUGGAGCUUAUCCGUUCCGUAUGCUGGAGAUCAACUGCACAAUUUCGAUUAAGGCCGCCACUUGUUACAGGUCUUCUAACGUGUUUUUGAUUGAGAUUAAGUUCAAUGAUAUUUAAAUAUAAGUUUUGAAAAUA
Long non-coding RNA from Armigeres subalbatus, 754 nucleotides. RefSeq lists it as uncharacterized. The transcript is spliced from 2 exons. Lineage: Eukaryota; Metazoa; Arthropoda; Insecta; Diptera; Culicidae. The record is from RefSeq and is a predicted model, not a curated record.